This 408-nucleotide ribosomal RNA is filed under the name Triticum aestivum (bread wheat). RNAcentral describes it as "partial small subunit ribosomal RNA". The record is from RNAcentral. Lineage: Eukaryota; Viridiplantae; Streptophyta; Magnoliopsida; Poales; Poaceae.
AUGGCUAUGAGAGGCAACAAUGUCAAGACCAUUGUGAUGAUGCUCGUAGUUGUGGGUGUUGUGGCCAUGGAGCAAACCCAGCAAGUACAAGCAUCCCACUGUUGUUAUGAUCUCAACUCGGUCGAUACCUAUUUUAAGUGCCGCGCAAAAUCUGAUAGCACUGUCUCAGAGUGCUGCGGUGUUUCCGCUGGCUAUAUAUCAGAAGCCGCUGGAUUUGAAUGCAAGCCCGGUUAUAUAGAUAUAGAGACUGCACUGCAAGCCACCAACUACUGCAAGAUUGGGUGCACGGCUUCCUUGUGCAACAAAUUAACUCCUUCUGGGAAAGGCGCCAUGGAACACUGCACCAGUGGAUGCCACGAUCUGUGCACCAAGAACAACGCGGAAAUUGCACAAGUCAUCACGGCUUAA